GAGGAUACGUGCGUUGGAGUUUGGUUUGAUCUCCGGUUUGAUCGAUGGCUUGUCCGUGCCAUGCGCUGUGGACAGCUGGGGCUUGUACUCAGUGGGGGACGGGUAUUGACAGCAGUCGGAGAUUUUAGUGAACCAACAGUGAGGAACUCACUAUAUCACAUCUCAUGAAGAUAUAUUACUGUGACAUUGCAUUCCUUUUGGACUUGUGGCAACGGACAUAACCUUGUAUUCCUGACAGCACAUUGAAACCCGUGUACAGAGAGUAUAUUCAACAAAAUAAUUUUAAAAGAGGUUGAAAAUCCUUCAUAUAAACCGACAAGGGCCUGUGAUUGCAGAGCAGACAGAUCCUGCAAACUACAUCGUUCAUUGGGAGAUGGAAUACCGUUACGAGAUGGAGCCCUUGUCUAUCCGCUUUCUUCGGACCUUCAAAGAACUUCUGAAAUUUGUUCUCUUCAGUUACACAGUGCUGUUAGGUGCUUUGCUCUUAGCAGGCUGGACAACAUACUUAAUGGUUGCAAAAUAAAAAGGGGAACUUUGAGUUGCUUUAUUAGGCUAUAGAGUGGCUAUUAUAAAAUAAUUUGUGUUAUGUUGUUGUUAAAAUAGCCACACUGUACAGUGAAUGUGUCCAACAUGACCUGGGACAAAUAUGUUACCAAAUAAUAAAGCUAUAACGGCAUGUUCCCAAAUAGUAGCAGAACGUAUGUUGUGUGAUAUUGUGUAGAACAUUUGUUUAUCUAUUAUUUUUGUGUUAUUUUAGUUUCCCCCGUAGAAUGAAGAAAGUCCCCAUCACAGUUAAUCAAUGCACUGGUCCUUUUUAGCUUUGGUCAUGAUCAUGUUGUAAGCUUAUUUCUUGGCCAUGUUUCUAAGAGGAUGGAUUUAUGUGCAAAUUCAAAGUACUCAACAUUAAACAUUCGAAAUAGA
This 921-nucleotide long non-coding RNA is filed under the name Salmo salar (Atlantic salmon). Its description in RNAcentral is "lncRNA (ENSSSAG00000093015.1)". Lineage: Eukaryota; Metazoa; Chordata; Actinopteri; Salmoniformes; Salmonidae. The record is from RNAcentral.